Molecule: transfer RNA, 72 nt
Filed under: Bos taurus (domestic cattle)
Lineage: Eukaryota; Metazoa; Chordata; Mammalia; Artiodactyla; Bovidae
Also listed under: 5 other names
Rfam family: tRNA
About the family: Transfer RNA (tRNA) molecules are approximately 80 nucleotides in length. Their secondary structure includes four short double-helical elements and three loops (D, anti-codon, and T loops). Further hydrogen bonds mediate the characteristic L-shaped molecular structure. tRNAs have two regions of fundamental functional importance: the anti-codon, which is responsible for specific mRNA codon recognition, and the 3' end, to which the tRNAs corresponding amino acid is attached (by aminoacyl-tRNA synthetases). tRNAs cope with the degeneracy of the genetic code in two manners: having more than one tRNA (with a specific anti-codon) for a particular amino acid; and 'wobble' base-pairing, i.e. permitting non-standard base-pairing at the 3rd anti-codon position.
Source: Rfam by way of RNAcentral
UCCCUGGUGGCUCAGACGGUAAACCGUCUGCCUGGAAUGCAGGAGACCCAGGUUUGAUUCCUGGGUCGGGAA